This 527-nucleotide ribosomal RNA is filed under the name uncultured bacterium. Its description in RNAcentral is "bacterial SSU rRNA". It matches the Rfam family "Bacterial small subunit ribosomal RNA", at positions 8 to 526 of the family's 1533-position model. The record is from RNAcentral.
AGAGUUUGAUCAUGGCUCAGAUUGAACGCUGGCGGCAGGCCUAACACAUGCAAGUCGAGCGGUAACAGGGGAAGCUUGCUUCUCGCUGACGAGCGGCGGACGGGUGAGUAAUGUAUGGGGAUCUGCCCGAUAGAGGGGGAUAACUACUGGAAACGGUAGCUAAUACCGCAUAAUCUCUAAGGAGCAAAGCAGGGGAACUUCGGUCCUUGCGCUAUCGGAUGAACCCAUAUGGGAUUAGCUAGUUGGUGAGGUAAUGGCUCACCAAGGCGACGAUCCCUAGCUGGUCUGAGAGGAUGAUCAGCCACACUGGAACUGAGACACGGUCCAGACUCCUACGGGAGGCAGCAGUGGGGAAUAUUGCACAAUGGGGGAAACCCUGAUGCAGCCAUGCCGCGUGUGUGAAGAAGGCCUUCGGGUUGUAAAGUACUUUCAGCGAGGAGGAAGGCGUUGUGGUUAAUAACCGCAGCGAUUGACGUUACCCGCAGAAGAAGCACCGGCUAACUCCGUGCCAGCAGCCGCGGUAAUUC